UAACUGAAAAUAAAUAAUAAUUUAAAAAAUGGGGGUACAUGCUGCUAGAUUUAGCUAAUCAAAAUAUACUAAUAACAUUAUACCGGGUGUUUCAAGUAAACCUUUUCUUACUAGAAUCCCCAAUUAAAGAAUUUCUGGUUAUUGAGGAAGUUUCGCUGUGUCCAAUCCAAGAAUGAUUGGAUUGAACACGAUGUUAUUUAAUAAACCAAGUCAAAUGUUUAUUAUAUUACAUAAGGCUUUUAUUAUUCGAUUGAUAGCAUCUGCCUUAAAUAUUAUAUUUUCUAUCGAAUUAGUUGAUUGAUAAUUUAAAGUUUAUAAUAAUUAUUUUCUCGAACAAUACUUACUGUUCAAUUUUUUUAAUCCUACAACUCUCACUAACGUCCCGGCACAAAGAAAAACUACAACUCUAGCUGAUGCUACUAUAAAAGUAUUGAGAUAAACUGAAAAAUUAUUCAGAUCCUACAACAUAAAAGAUCAAAUAAAGUUAAAUAUCAAAAGAGUUGCGGGAAAAGUGAACAUAAGAGUACCAAGUAAUAACAAUGACUUAAAAUAGUGAAUUCAAGAAGAAAAAUCCAAAUGAUUCAAUUAUUACAAAUGUAGGAUAAGCAAGAAGAUAAAAUAAAGCAAAUAGGAAUAACUGGAGAGAAAAUAACAACAAAUAACCCAAAAAAAAACAGUUGAACAAGAAUUUGUUCGAGAAUCAAUCACGGCUAACAAAAUCAAAUCGAAUUAUCAAUCAACAUGAUUAGUUAAUUUUAAAUUUAGUUUCAUUAAAGCAAUCCAUUCAACCCAUAUUAUUAAUCUGGAAAAUGAAGUGAAUAACGUAAUUCUUCUUUAACUUGGCCCCUAGUCAUCCCCUAUAUGACUGCACAGCCAUGGAAUAUUGUAAUUUGCAAAUGUGUUUAAGCAUAUUAUGGAAUGUUUUUGAACUGUUGCAAGGUUAUUCUUCUUUCCCUUGGCACUUGGGCUUCACCUGUUCGACUAAACAGCCAUGGAAUAUUCUGGAAGUGUUUCAACAAAGCAGAAAAGCAGAACGUACCAAUAAAAUAGGAAGUUGACUUGUUCUCCACAUAUUUUCCUCAAAGGAAAUUGAUAUAUGAAUUUAAGAGUAGAUUACUGUAGAAACAGUUUAAAAUUGUCAAGAGAAAAUGAAAUUGGAAGCGUUUCAUUUAACACCGUUUGCUGAAACUAUUUUAAUAGUGAAAUAUUUACCACCGAACAACUUUGCGUAGAUGUAACAUUUGUUUCUUUUAAUUCUUCCAACAUAACGCACAUACUACUGCUGGUUCCAUUAUGACUAUUCUGGUAAUCACUUAUAGCCUGGAAAAUACUAGGAAGCCAGAAUUUUAAGGAAGAACUUGGAAUAAGAAAAUGCGGCUUAUAAAACAACAUGGCAACAUGAUAAACAAAGCGAAUUAUAGAACGGUAGUACGUCAUAAGGAGUGGGGAUGUCCGCUAACUUGAAUGUCAAUGGAAGUGACUCUAUCUGUUAACUGUCAUUUGUUUAUGGUCAUAUCCGCCAUCUUGGAUGUUAUAUGUCAUGUGUGCUGUGAGUUGUUUGUGUUGUUUUUCAUUUUUGAAAGUAGUGGAAUUAGUGUAGUUCACCAUGUUUUUAGAAAAUAGAAAUCGAGAUCAAUACGUAAACGUGCAAAAACCAUCCGUUACUUAACGCUGUUGCCAAUUCUAUCCGACUUGUCGACAUAUUCAUGUUCGCUUCUUUAACCAAAGUUUUAACCUAUGAAAAUUUGAUAUGUAUUAAUUAUACAGGGUGUAAUAAUUAAACAAUGAAAAAUUACAAAUAGAUUUCUUCUUUCCUGAUAACGUUAAUUCAGUCGAAUCCUCUGACAUUUCUCCUUUUUCCCCGUUAACAAAGUCCAA
This is a long non-coding RNA of Diorhabda sublineata, 1878 nucleotides long. RefSeq lists it as uncharacterized. NCBI's taxonomy places the organism in Eukaryota, Metazoa, Arthropoda, Insecta, Coleoptera, Chrysomelidae. The record is from RefSeq and is a predicted model, not a curated record. The transcript is spliced from 3 exons.